RNAcentral lists this ribosomal RNA (830 nucleotides) under Bacillus subtilis. RNAcentral describes it as "bacterial SSU rRNA". It matches the Rfam family "Bacterial small subunit ribosomal RNA", at positions 42 to 853 of the family's 1533-position model. Lineage: Bacteria; Bacillati; Bacillota; Bacilli; Caryophanales; Bacillaceae. The record is from RNAcentral.
GCGUGCCUAAUACAUGCAAGUCGAGCGGACAGAUGGGAGCUUGCUCCCUGAUGUUAGCGGCGGACGGGUGAGUAACACGUGGGUAACCUGCCUGUAAGACUGGGAUAACUCCGGGAAACCGGGGCUAAUACCGGAUGGUUGUUUGAACCGCAUGGUUCAAACAUAAAAGGUGGCUUCGGCUACCACUUACAGAUGGACCCGCGGCGCAUUAGCUAGUUGGUGAGGUAACGGCUCACCAAGGCAACGAUGCGUAGCCGACCUGAGAGGGUGAUCGGCCACACUGGGACUGAGACACGGCCCAGACUCCUACGGGAGGCAGCAGUAGGGAAUCUUCCGCAAUGGACGAAAGUCUGACGGAGCAACGCCGCGUGAGUGAUGAAGGUUUUCGGAUCGUAAAGCUCUGUUGUUAGGGAAGAACAAGUACCGUUCGAAUAGGGCGGUACCUUGACGGUACCUAACCAGAAAGCCACGGCUAACUACGUGCCAGCAGCCGCGGUAAUACGUAGGUGGCAAGCGUUGUCCGGAAUUAUUGGGCGUAAAGGGCUCGCAGGCGGUUUCUUAAGUCUGAUGUGAAAGCCCCCGGCUCAACCGGGGAGGGUCAUUGGAAACUGGGGAACUUGAGUGCAGAAGAGGAGAGUGGAAUUCCACGUGUAGCGGUGAAAUGCGUAGAGAUGUGGAGGAACACCAGUGGCGAAGGCGACUCUCUGGUCUGUAACUGACGCUGAGGAGCGAAAGCGUGGGGAGCGAACAGGAUUAGAUACCCUGGUAGUCCACGCCGUAAACGAUGAGUGCUAAGUGUUAGGGGGUUUCCGCCCCUUAGUGCUGCAGCU